This 973-nucleotide ribosomal RNA is filed under the name uncultured Planctomycetota bacterium. Its description in RNAcentral is "bacterial SSU rRNA". It matches the Rfam family "Bacterial small subunit ribosomal RNA", at positions 500 to 1460 of the family's 1533-position model. Lineage: Bacteria; Pseudomonadati; Planctomycetota. The record is from RNAcentral.
AAUUCGUGCCAGCAGCCGCGGUAAUACGAAUGUGGCAAGCGUUGUUCGGAAUCACUGGGCAUAAAGCGCACGUAGGCGGCGCAGUAAGUUAAUUUGUGAAAUCCCCCCGGCUCACCGGGGGAAUUGCGGUUAAUACUGCUGUGCUAGAGUAUGGAAGGGGAGAGUGGAAUUCUGGGUGUAGCGGUGGAAUGCGAAGAUAUCCAGGAGAAGGCCGGUAGCGAAAGCGACUCUCUGGUCCAAUACUGACGCUGAGGUGCGAAAGUGUAGGUAGCGAACGGGAUUAGAUACCCCGGUAGUCUACACCGUAAACGAUGAGCACUAGGUGGUGGAAACGCCGAUAGUUUUCUCCGCCGAAGCUAAUGCAUUAAGUGCUCCGCCUGGGGAGUAUGGUCGCAAGAUUAAAACUCAAAGGAAUUGACGGGGGCCCACACAAGCGGUGGAGGAUGCGGCUUAAUUCGAGGACACGCGUAGAACCUUACCGAGGCUUGACAUGCAGGGAUUAACCAGAUGAAAGUCUGGGGAUUGCCUUACGGUGUAACCUGCACAGGUGCUGCAUGGCUGUCGACAGUUCGUGUCGUGGGAUGUUAGGUUAAGUCCUGUAACGAGCGAAACCCCUGUGCUUAAUUGCCAGCGCGUUAUGGCGGGGACCUUAAGCAGACUGCCCCGGCCAACGGGGAGGAAGGUGGGGAUGACGUCAAGUCAGCAUGGCCCUUAUGCCUCGGGCUGCACGCGUCCUACAAUGGGCUGUAUAAUGAGUUCCGAUCCCGCGAGGGGGAGGCAAUCUUCAAAGCAGUCCUCAGUUCGGAUUGCAGGCUGAAACUCGCCUGCAUGAAGGUGGAAUCGCUAGUAAUCGCCGGUCAGCUAUACGGCGGUGAAUACGUCCCUGGGCCUUGUACACACCGCCCGUCAAGCCACCCGAGUUGGGCGCGCUCGAAGUCCGAGACUCAACCUGCUGCAGGAGAGAUCGGCCGAA